AAUACUUCACAAAGACUCGACCUAUCUCGCCGCUGUUGAAACCAUUACCGCCACUACAACUGAUUUUUAUCUCAUCGCUGGCCACCAAUUCCAGGAUUAAGUCCCAAUUGUAUUUGACAUUUUAGAGCAAAUGUGAUUGCCGGUGGUAGCACUAUUAAUCUGAGUCUGCGGGAUACUGCUGGAAGGAAGAUUACAAUAAAAUGAGACCCUUGAGGCUUGAGCUAUCAUGGGCAGAUGUAUCUGGAAUUUCAGACAGAAAAAUUUCUCGCUAGCAAGCCCAAUUAUAAAAAUGUCUCCAAAAAAGGUAGACUUCCUUCUUAAUUUCAAGUUUCUUUAUAGUACUUUUAUUUGUUUUUUUAUAAUACAGCGGAGAAAUGUGUACGCUAGUUGUAAUACCAGUCCUUGUUACUUGAAGUAAGUUCAUGAAAACCUUGGCUUGUUUUAGUUUUCACUUUAGUUAUUUGGUGAAGACGACUGGUGAAUAUACUAAAAAUACUAGUACUCUACUCCGACAUUUUAGGAUUUCGUAUGUUUACUAGAAAUGAACAGGUAAAGGUUGUCUGUUAAAGAGAAAAAUGAAACGAUUCUAUGGUUCGUGAUAUUUUAUAAUUUCUCUCAAGGAAUACCUUAUUUUUUGCUCUUGUUAUUAUUUUUUAGCGGAUUCCUAAAUUGAGACAUUAUGUUCCUGGAGUACCAAUUAUACUUGUUCGAACAAAGCUAGAGAUAUAGCACGUGGAAGUUCAUAUAAUCAAGAUUUGGGAGAAUCUGUCCGAUGUAACUUAUUAUCGAGCUUAUAGCUACUUAAUAAAAUAAUUAAUUAGACGUGAAAUAUUAUUGGAUUCAAAUAAUUUAGCAUUUU
This is a non-coding RNA of Nicotiana tabacum (common tobacco), 859 nucleotides long. NCBI's taxonomy places the organism in Eukaryota, Viridiplantae, Streptophyta, Magnoliopsida, Solanales, Solanaceae. The record is from RefSeq and is a predicted model, not a curated record.